UCCAGGUUGUAUAUAAGGACAGGAAAAGGAAAAAGGUUUCAUUUUGAUUGCCACUUCCAGUACUAGCCACCUAGAGCACUGGUCAAGAGAUUUGGUGGCUCUAUUCUGGCCCAGCAAGAAGAGGGUAGUCUGUGGUAAGCAUAGGAGAGAGGAGUGGCUACAAGAUUCAGGUGCCUUUGGGUCUCACGACUUCUAGUAGCAUAGAAAGAAGUGGCUGAAAAGUAAAGGAAUUUGUCUCCUGAAUACCCCAGAACUGGCCUGGUCUAAAUAUCUCACUCCUGCCUGUCUUUCCUGAGGCUCCUUUGGUACCUCAUGUAUCAAGUGUCACCCCACAAGCUCACUGAAAAGAGGAGCAAAGAGACAACCAAAGGGAGAAGUGACUAAAUAAAGAGGAGAGAGAGAUACGCGUAGCUCACUCCCAGAGGAUAGUGGUGCCCAGAUCUUCCCUUACUUAUGGCUGGCAGACUUUGACUGACUCCCUACAGGGGUAAGAAAGGUUGGUGUGAGGAUUGAGAUAACAUAUAAAAUCAGUUGAGAUAUUUUCCUGGCCCCAUAACUGUCAACUACUGGCAUUAAAAUUUGUGUGUGAUCUCUUUAUUUUCUCCGUCAAAGCUCUUCUCUUCCCAUGGAGUCUGACACUAUGUGUCCCCAGUGAUCCUGUGUUGUCUUGAUUCAUGUCAGGGGUCCUCUCCUUUGGGACUCUCUGAGCUUCUUUUGAAGUUGUUGUGUGUGACUUCUUGGGAAAUAGAGUCACUACAGGAUCAGAGCACAAUAAAUCUAGAAGCGAUCUUGACAAUCUUCUAAUUCCCAUGUAGCAAUUUGUAGCACAGAGCAAGAGGUGGGCAGGAGAGGAGAGUCAGUGUUCUGCUGUGGUGUUGUGGGUUGAUGGAAACCUUGACAAAACCAUAAAGGAGAUGGUGAGUGAUUUGGGAUUUUCCUGCUUCCCUUUCAUGCCCUCUGACUUCCUCAGCUACAUUUCAUUCUGGCACCAGGACCACCUCAGCUUGCACCCAAGCCUUUUCUCCCUCCCUGGGAGAAGCAUGGAUUGGGGUCUACAAGCAGUUAUCUGAUUCUGCUCAUGGAUACUGGUAGGAAUGGAGGAUCCUGUGCCAUUUGGCAAUGUUUACAUUUUGACUUUUAAGGCCAUUAAUGGAGAUUAUGUUAGAAUGUAGAACGUGUUUUAGCUUGGAGGGUCUCUCAUUGUCCACUGACAUUUCAGAAAGUCAGGAACUAGCUAAUAGGUAAUUGCUGCUUCAAAGAUAGCCCUCUCCUCCAUCCAUGUGGGGGUUUUUAACAAGGGUAUUUAGAAAAGAGUAUUCCACACUUCCUCAUGGAGCUGUCCUUGACUGUUCAACAGUCCUCACCAUCAGGGAGAGCUCACUUAUCUAAGCUAAAUCCUGUUUGUGCUGCUGGAUUCAUUUUAUUUCCUCCUGUCCUGCUCUCAGUGGAAACAGAAACAGCUGGCGACUGUCCCUUGCACACAGCAAAGUGACUUCUGAGGCUACUUGAUAAAAAGCCUUUCUGACUUCCUGAAGGGAGCCAACAAAGUAGCUGCCCUGGAGGACAUGGAAAGAAAAAUUGGGCACAGAAUAAUUAAGAACUUGCCCAAUGUCAUCCACUUAGCAAGAGCAGAGGCACAACUGAAUCCAGGCAGUUUGGUUCCAGUGCUCAGACCUUCAACCAUAGCAUGAUGUGACAGCUAUGGCCAAAGCUCUGCAUUGAACAUGGGCACCUCUCUGAAAGAUGAGGUAUUUGAUGGUGAGUGAUUCAGCACAUCAUUCUUCUUACAAUGAUACACAAAUAUCGAACAGAGUCU
Non-coding RNA from Castor canadensis (American beaver), 1816 nucleotides. Lineage: Eukaryota; Metazoa; Chordata; Mammalia; Rodentia; Castoridae. The record is from RefSeq and is a predicted model, not a curated record.